GCAUCAAGUGGCGCUGGUUACCUUGUUACGACUUCACUGAUCAUGAAUCCUACCGUGGUAGUCGCCCUCCUGCGGUUAGGCUAACUACUUCUGGUAAAACCCACUCCCAUGGUGUGACGGGCGGUGUCAUGCAAGACCCGGGAACGUAUUCACCGCGACAUGCUGAUCGCGAUUACUAGCGAUUCCCGACUUCACGCAGUCGAGUUGCAGACUGCGAUCCGGACUACGAUCGGGUUUCUGGGAUUGGCUCCCCCUCGCAGGUUUGGCGACCCUCUAUCCCGACAUUGUAUGACGGUAGAGGCCCUACCAUAAAGGCCGCGGGGACUUGACGUCAUCACCUUCUCCAGUUUGUCACCGGCAGUCUCGACAAGUGCCCUUUCGUAGCAACUAAUGACAAAGGUUGCGCUCAUUCCGCGGGACUUAACCCCGGCAUCUCGACACGGCUGACGACAGCCAUGCAGCACCUGUGUUCCGGUUCUCUUGCGAGCACUCCCAAAUCUCUUCGGGAUUCCAGACAUGUCUUAGAUGAAAUAAGGUUUUCGCGUUGCGUCGAAUUAAUCCACAUCAUCCACCGCUUGUGCGGAGUCCCGUCAAUUCUUUGAGUUUAAUCUUGCGACCGUGCUCACAGGCGGUCGCUUCUGCCGUUCAGCUGCGCCAAAGGCCCGAAGCCCAACAGCUAGUUGACAUCGUUUGGGCGAAAACCGGUUCCCAGGUGGUCUCUAAUCUGUUUGCUCACCGCUUUCGUGCAUAAGCGUCAGUGUUAUCCCAGGAAGCUGCCUUCGCCAUCGUUGUUCCUCCGCAUAUCUACGCAUUUCACUGCUACGCGAAUUCCACCUCCCUCCUGACACACUCCUAGCUCGGUAGUUAAAAAUGCAGUUCCCAAAGUUAAGCUCUGGGAUUUCACAUCUUUCUUUCCGAACCGCCUUGCGCACGCUUUACGCCCAGUAAUUCCGUUAGCUUACCCUACGUAUUACCGCGGCUGCUGGCACGUAGUUCAGCCGGUGCUUAUUCUGCGGGUGCCGUCGGUUGCUGCGGAGUGUUCUCCGUGCCGUUUUUCUUUCCUUAUAAAGUGCUUCUGGCGAAGGCCUUCAUCACACACGCCCGGGAUGGCUGGAUCAGGGUUUCCCCCAUUGUCAAAAUUCCCCUGCGCACUCCCGUAGGAGUCUGGUAUAUACUCCAGUCCCGGUGUAGUAGUCGUCCUCAAACCAGCUACGGAUCGUCGCCUUGGUGAGCCGUUACCCCAUAACUGGCUGAUACGAUAUCGGCCGCUCUAAUUGCGGUGAAGAUUCCCCCGCUUUCCCCCGGGGGCGGUAUUAGCUGCAGCACCGGCGUAGUUAUCCCCGCUGCACUAGGCGUUCCGAUACAUUACUCACCCGUUCGCCACUCACCAUAGACCGAAGUCGCGCCAUUGACGCACGUGUGUCAAAGCAUCCCGCCAGCGUUCAAUCAGGCUAUGAUCAGACC
RNAcentral lists this ribosomal RNA (1464 nucleotides) under uncultured Bordetella sp. RNAcentral describes it as "partial 16S-23S ribosomal RNA intergenic spacer". The record is from RNAcentral. Lineage: Bacteria; Pseudomonadati; Pseudomonadota; Betaproteobacteria; Burkholderiales; Alcaligenaceae.